UGUGAGUGAUUGCACAUGAGAGUCAGGUCUGUGGCAUCCAGAAACUGUGUGCUGGGGUUUCUGGGAGAUGUAGUGUGUUUAGAACAGGGGAGACAGUUUCCGCUGAUGACCAGAGGUGUAGAAGCUCUGACUUCUGACGCUAAGAUGUGGCCGGUGAUUUUAAGGACCCUCCAUGGUGUCCGGGCAACCCGAAAACCUGCCGACCCCAAACAGGUGCAUGUGACUGAGGCUUAAGACUUCUUGUAAUGAUUCAACUUCCUGUUGAUGUUCGAACUUAGGGAGACCCACCUGAAUAGAUACAGAAUUUCCUCAAACUCAUGAUUUAAUUCUUGGACAUGUUCACAAUGCUAAUCACAGUCUCGCUGCACACAAUAUUCCUCCAGACUGUAGGCGCACGUCUUAUGUAAACAUGUUUUUCAAUCGUUAUGACCUCCACUGGAAGAAAAAGAGCUACCUCUGUAGAAUCGUGCCUCCUCUCAUAUUCAAACAUAGGAGUCCACGCCGGCAUUUUUAUGAGAAGGCAUGCGGUGCGGCGUGUGUUGGUGUGCGAGAGUGAGAUGAUAGAGGCACUGUGACUCUGCCUGUGGGCAGCUGCCACCCCAUUGUAAAGGGAAGGGGGUGAACAAAAGGCCAGAUACCUGCUUUCCUCAAAAUGAAUUAUGAAAUGAAGCCAAGUCUGUAUUUUUGUCUGCACAACUGACAACAGAGGGCAAGGCCAAAAAACCUGAGGGAAGGGAGAAAAAGAAGCAGGCAUCACCCAGAAUGCUACGCAAAGUGAAAGAGAGCAGAAAAGUUAACAGUUUGGCUUUAAUAGAGCACAAAAAAACGUAAUUAUACAGAAGGUUUUUUCUUUUUGGCUGACACGGCUCAAUUAAAAUAACUGGAGAGAGCCAUUUAAAUCAGAUGAAAUAUUAAGUGUUUGAAGUCAGCCUACAAACAGCUUACUCGGUGAACACACUGAAUACUGAGCUGUCUUUUUAAAACAUAAUGACUGUGCUUGUGCCACAUUAUCUGCUUUAACCCUGUCUUUUCCGCUUCCCUUUAGCAGACAUCUUCAUCUCGUGUCUCAGCAGCUCCACAUCACACAACAUGGGGGAUUUGCUCUUGACUGGUUUUGCUGACGGUGCUGGAGCUGCAUUGCUUCUCAGCAGAAGAUUUUUCCCUCAGUAGACUGGACGAAAGAGAAAAGGUGAGGGAUACCUGGAUUCUACCCCUACCUCCACCCUGUCGUGGUGCUGUCUUCCUCUGCUUGUUGCGAGCAGGACCCCUUUUCUCCAAGCCGUCAAACUCGAUCCUCCAUCCCUUCUUAUGCUGGAAGCACGGUGACUCUGCCUGCGGGCAUGUGCCACCCCAUUGUAAAGGGAAAGGGGUGAACACAAGGCCUUUUGAAGCUUCAAAAGGUCUUUUAAAGCUUCACAGGAAAACAGCUUAGAGGAAACACGCCACUCAUCUGCACUUCUUCCAUUCACAAGCUCAUUUGAUCUUCCAGUAUUGUUCGUAAUAUUAUUUGACACAUUCUUGUGGGAUUUUUCUGCUGAUGGAGGACAUAUAUUAAAAAAAAUCAGGUUCAAAAUUGCAUUUUUUAGUAUUUCUUUAUUCAAAUCUUUGUGAAUCAGGAGCAGAUGAAAAAACUGCUGUUUGAAAAAGAUUGUGUUGUUAGGGCUGCUUGGUAAGAGGAAAACUUGCUAUAUGUCAUAUAAGAGAUCACAAUUGCAAAACAUAAAACAACGAAUUUUUUGUUAAGCUAGUUAUUAAAGUUAUCAUGCAUUUUUUGGUGCAAGUACCAAUUUUGGCAAGGAUGUACUCUGGGAUCCCUUCUUUCAGAAAAGAAUGUUAGCCAUGAGAAAAUCCAAGAUUUAAAAAUAUAUAUAAUAUACAUAAAAUAUAUCAUAGUAUUUUGUAGUUCCCCUUCAAGUUUAAAGGCUGUGUUUUGUUCAUUGACAGCCCAUAGUGAUGAGACUGAGGAUAACAGACAUUGAAUAUUUUUGCAACAAUUGAAUGAAUGGGCGCAGUCUUUACAAAGGCGACCAUUUUUGGAUUUUUCUUGUGGCUAACGAUGAGAUGUUAAGGUACAUCCAUGCCAAAUUUGGUGCUCAUACCACAAAAUGUAUGAUUUGUCCAAAAUAUGAAUGUCACCGGCUAGCUUACAUUAGCUUUACCACAUCAGUAUAAAGCUAUAGAAACAUCGGGCAUGUGACACAAAACUUGCAUUCUUGAACGCACAUUUAGCCCAUGGUGUUCAUACUGGACAAGCAGGGAGGGGUUUCCUCAAAGUUGCACAAACGUUGCAAAUCUUUCACAGCUUUAAGCCGAUAUUUAGAUUGUAUACUUCUAGCCGGGCACAAACCGCAAAUAUUUAUUUCUCCUCCAUGAUCAAUUUUCAAACGGUUGUCAGUUCCGUGAAUUGAAAGGGACGCCAUCCCCAAUGCAUUUUAUAUGCAUUGCCAUGGAGCCCAAAAUCGGUCGUAAAAACGUCAAUUUCUUCACUUCAACACAAGAGUUUUCAAUACAGAAACCCGAAACUCCAAUUUACCAUAGACUUUUCAUUAAAAAUGGUCCCUGGAUCACCGCGUUGCUGAAGAUGGUGUAAACGUAUCUCAACAGAAAAACAUCAGGAAAGUUUUACAUUUCAUUUUAAGGUAAAAUGAAUCUGAGUACUUAGGGGGUUAAAUUAAAAAUGACCCAUAUCUACAUAGAAGGCUCCGUCUGAUUGGUCAAACAAUGCACGGACGUUAAACAAUUUACUGUCAAACUCAAAGAAAAACUGUUCUUAAAUUAUAAGAUGGAUGAUUAAAAACUAUAAAAUAUUCAAUUAUUGACUGUGAAAUGUUGAUUGUGGAAUCAGAGAACAUAUUAAUAUGUGGGAUAUUGUGGAUAAGUAGAUAAAGGCAUAGGCUUAAAUAAGCAUUGGCUUCUGCCUAUCCCUUAUUCAAGCAUGUAUUUUUUGGAGUUCAGUCCAAGGUAGACUUUUUUUUUCUUCUAAGCAUUAAAGAUGAUGAAUGUAAUGAUACUUUUGUAUUGUUUAACAUGUGUUGCUAUCCCUGUUUGAAAUAAAUCUAGUUUGAAUCUAA
Molecule: non-coding RNA, 3071 nt
Organism: Oryzias latipes (Japanese medaka)
Lineage: Eukaryota; Metazoa; Chordata; Actinopteri; Beloniformes; Adrianichthyidae
Source: RefSeq, a predicted model, not a curated record